This 24-nucleotide non-coding RNA is filed under the name Arabidopsis thaliana (thale cress). The record is from RNAcentral. Lineage: Eukaryota; Viridiplantae; Streptophyta; Magnoliopsida; Brassicales; Brassicaceae.
CGGUCAUCUAAUGUUGUGGUUGAU